This 251-nucleotide ribosomal RNA is filed under the name uncultured prokaryote. Its description in RNAcentral is "partial 16S ribosomal RNA". It matches the Rfam family "Bacterial small subunit ribosomal RNA", at positions 525 to 775 of the family's 1533-position model. The record is from RNAcentral.
ACGAAGGGUGCAAGCGUUACUCGGAAUUACUGGGCGUAAAGCGUGCGUAGGUGGUUCGUUAAGUCUGAUGUGAAAGCCCUGGGCUCAACCUGGGAAUUGCAUUGGAUACUGGCGGGCUAGAGUGCGGUAGAGGAUGGCGGAAUUCCCGGUGUAGCAGUGAAAUGCGUAGAGAUCGGGAGGAACAUCUGUGGCGAAGGCGGCCAUCUGGACCAGCACUGACACUGAGGCACGAAAGCGUGGGGAGCAAACAG